RNAcentral lists this transfer RNA (69 nucleotides) under Dictyosoma tongyeongensis. RNAcentral describes it as "tRNA-His". It matches the Rfam family "tRNA". Rfam says of the family: Transfer RNA (tRNA) molecules are approximately 80 nucleotides in length. The record is from RNAcentral. Lineage: Eukaryota; Metazoa; Chordata; Actinopteri; Perciformes; Stichaeidae.
GUAGACAUAGUUUAAAGAAAAUAUUAGAUUGUGAUUCUGAAGACAGGGGUUAAAGCCCCCUUGUCCACC